GCGGCCCCGGCUGACGUCACCGGAGGAUGUGGCAGAGUCGGCGCGGGAGAGCUGGGCCGGGAGGCGCCGGAAGCGGCGGCCGGGGAUCCGCUGCCACUGCAGCCUACACCCUUCCCGGCCCUCGGUGCUUGUCUUUUCUUUGGCGUUCCUGCGCCCCCUGACCCGCGGUCCUGCAGUCCUGCUCCCGUGACGUGCCCUCCCUCCUUCCGUUCCCCGUUUCCCCUUCACUACCCAGGGCUGGAGCCUGAACCUGGCGGGGCCCCCCGUGAAUGGAAGAGCCUGGGCCACGCGAAGGUGGACCCCACUCAGCCUCCAGCCGUGCCCUCCACGCCCCAGACACCGCCGUCUUCGGAGGCGACUCCGCGGUCGUGUGGACGGGGUCCCAUUUGGACUCCGGGGUCUGCAGGAUCGGCAGGAAGGACUUUGCUCUCUGCUGCUGGGCGGGGAGGGGUACGCUAUCUGCCGGGACUCCCUAACCCUUUAGAAGGAGCAAGUGCGUCCAAAUGGUUUGAAAGUGGACCUUUAUUGUUUUCCAGGAGUAAGAAGAUAGAACAGUUGACCAGUUUUGUUUGUAAAACUUCUUUCCUUGCCUCGGACUUGUGCUAUAAAGUGACCAGGGCGUAGUGAGUACAGUUAGUACCGCACACGUUAGCACGCUCGACCUUAACGAUCUUUUUAUAGAGACAAUAAACCUGCAGCGUUUCAUGCCACGUCUUUGUACGCAUCGGAUGUCUCUCCGUGUAGUUACUAGGUGAAAUCCUCUUGGCGUGCGCAAAUUAGGUUAAAAAAAUAGCUGUCAAACCUGAGACAGGAGUUGGAGGAGUAGAGGGUGGCGCUUGUUAAGUGAAACAUUUAACCAGGAAUGGUAUUGUGUGCCAUCCUGUAUUAAACAAUGUAUGGACAGAGUGGAACAACAGCAAAGCAAAAAAUAAAAAUUUUUUAAAAAAAGUGAUCAUGGGCUGUGGCUAAAGAGUGCUUUAGAUGGAUUCUUCUCUUCCACAAAUCCAUUAUCCAGAACUGCUGCUGCCUACCAUCCCAUGCCCUGGAAAGUGACAGUGCUAAAUGAAGGGAAGAGAGGGUCCAGGGGGCACACCAAGUAGACCUUCC
This 1107-nucleotide long non-coding RNA is filed under the name Homo sapiens (human). RNAcentral's name for it is "non-protein coding lnc-PDZD2-1:2". Lineage: Eukaryota; Metazoa; Chordata; Mammalia; Primates; Hominidae. The record is from RNAcentral.